RNAcentral lists this ribosomal RNA (468 nucleotides) under uncultured bacterium. Its description in RNAcentral is "partial 16S ribosomal RNA". It matches the Rfam family "Bacterial small subunit ribosomal RNA", at positions 28 to 507 of the family's 1533-position model. The record is from RNAcentral.
GACGAACGCUGGCGGCGUGCUUAACACAUGCAAGUCGAACGGAAAGGCCCUGCUUUUGUGGGGUGCUCGAGUGGCGAAAGGGUGAGUAACACGUGAGUAACCUGCCCUUGACUUUGGGAUAACUUCAGGAAACUGGGGCUAAUACCGGAUAGGAGCUCCUGCUGCAUGGUGGGGGUUGGAAAGUUUCGGCGGUUGGGGAUGGACUCGCGGCUUAUCAGCUUGUUGGUGGGGUAGUGGCUUACCAAGGCUUUGACGGGUAGCCGGCCUGAGAGGGUGACCGGCCACAUUGGGACUGAGAUACGGCCCAGACUCCUACGGGAGGCAGCAGUGGGGAAUAUUGCACAAUGGGCGGAAGCCUGAUGCAGCAACGCCGCGUGCGGGAUGACGGCCUUCGGGUUGUAAACCGCUUUCGACUGUGACGAAGCGUGAGUGACGGUAAUGGGUAAAGAAGCACCGGCUAACUACGUG